This 303-nucleotide unclassified non-coding RNA is filed under the name Hevea brasiliensis (rubber tree). Lineage: Eukaryota; Viridiplantae; Streptophyta; Magnoliopsida; Malpighiales; Euphorbiaceae. The record is from RNAcentral.
AACUUUAUUUUAGGAUUUUUUUUUCUUGAUUUCCCUUUCUAUUUUGUAUAAUCAUGUAAGCAGCAUACUUAUAUAUAACUCUUUUGUUUUAUUUUUAUUUUUCUUCUGCAUGGUGAUUGUUUCGGCUGUUGUUUUCCACCUUUAAAAUUAUUAGUUUAUAGCUAGGGGGCCUUAGCAAGUGUAAUUAAUAUUUGCAUGAUCCUCUUGUGCUUAACUCAUUCAAUGAUUGUGCUGUCUACACUUCCAAAGUGCAUUAAAAUUUUCAAAUAUUAAAGUAGUGACAAAAAUGAGAGAGAUUGAUUA